This 463-nucleotide ribosomal RNA is filed under the name Vreelandella stevensii. RNAcentral describes it as "partial 16S ribosomal RNA". It matches the Rfam family "Bacterial small subunit ribosomal RNA", at positions 338 to 795 of the family's 1533-position model. The record is from RNAcentral. Lineage: Bacteria; Pseudomonadati; Pseudomonadota; Gammaproteobacteria; Oceanospirillales; Halomonadaceae.
CCUACGGGUGGCUGCAGUGGGGAAUAUUGGACAAUGGGCGAAAGCCUGAUCCAGCCAUGCCGCGUGUGUGAAGAAGGCCUUCGGGUUGUAAAGCACUUUCAGUGGGGAAGAAAGCCUUGGGGCUAAUACCCUCGAGGAAGGACAUCACCCACAGAAGAAGCACCGGCUAACUCCGUGCCAGCAGCCGCGGUAUACGGAGGUGCGAGCGUUAAUCGGAAUUACUGGGGGUAAAGCGCGCGUAGGCGGUCUGAUAAGCCGGUUGUGAAAGCCCCGGGCUCAACCUGGGAACGGCAUCCGGAACUGUCAGGCUAGAGUGCAGGAGAGGAAGGUAGAAUUCCCGGUGUAGCGGUGAAAUGCGUAGAGAUCGGGAGGAAUACCAGUGGCGAAGGCGGCCUUCUGGACUGACACUGACGCUGAGGUGCGAAAGCGUGGGUAGCAAACAGGAUUAGAUACCCUUGUAGUC